RNAcentral lists this ribosomal RNA (253 nucleotides) under uncultured bacterium. RNAcentral describes it as "partial 16S ribosomal RNA". It matches the Rfam family "Bacterial small subunit ribosomal RNA", at positions 524 to 776 of the family's 1533-position model. The record is from RNAcentral.
UACGGAGGAUCCAAGCGUUAUCCGGAUUUAUUGGGUUUAAAGGGUGCGUAGGCGGCCUAUUAAGUCAGGGGUGAAAGACGGUAGCUUAACUAUCGCAGUGCCCUUGAUACUGAUGGGCUUGAAUGUACUAGAGGUAGGCGGAAUGUGACAAGUAGCGGUGAAAUGCAUAGAUAUGUCACAGAACACCAAUUGCGAAGGCAGCUUACUACGCAGAUAUUGACGCUCAUGCACGAAAGCGUGGGGAUCAAACAGG